GCAAACAACAGUGACAAUGUCUCCCAUUUAUGUAGAGCAAGAAGUAAGAGCAUUCUCAGUGAGGACAGCCAACACUGUCCACCCCGGCCCUCAGUUGCUGGAGGUCCUCACCUCUUCCCGGCCACAGGAGACCAGGUCACAGGCCCCACAACAACUCUCCUUGAGUGUGAGGCAAGUAUUGCAACUCACACUUCCUGUUUCCUCUCAGAGGGCUCUGUGGGAACUGGGGACUCAGAGCCACAACUGUGCUGUCAAGUGUGUGUCCUUAGUGCCUCGUGCAACAGACAAGGAGCUUCGCCUCCUCCGCCCUUAGCCUGCUCACCUACAUUCUGCCCACUAUAGAGAGAGGCCAAGGGUGCCAGUGAGCUCUCACCUGUAGCUCCCAGCACAGACCCAAACAAGGAAGGGCCACACCCUUCCACCUUGUCAUCGGAACCUGCUCUGGCCUUCAGUGGAAGGGAUUCCAUUCAAAGCAGUGAGGGGUGCAGGUCCUGGGGUCUCUGCAUCCCCUUCUACCCUGCACUCUUGUCCUUUAAUCUGUCAGAUGAAUUCAGACAAGACACAGGCAUUGGACAGGAGAGUGGCAGGUUUCUUAGAGAAACAAGGGAGGCCCGGGAGUGAGGGUGGGCAUCGGCCAAAGGGCCCACUGCAGAUGGAAGGCCCUCAAGGGGUGGACAAUGGCCAGAGGACCAC
Molecule: long non-coding RNA, 693 nt
Organism: Mus musculus (house mouse)
Lineage: Eukaryota; Metazoa; Chordata; Mammalia; Rodentia; Muridae
Product: predicted gene, 29918
Exons: 3
Source: RefSeq, a predicted model, not a curated record